This 486-nucleotide ribosomal RNA is filed under the name uncultured bacterium. RNAcentral describes it as "partial 16S ribosomal RNA". It matches the Rfam family "Bacterial small subunit ribosomal RNA", at positions 30 to 507 of the family's 1533-position model. The record is from RNAcentral.
AUUGAACGCUGGCGGCAUGCCUUACACAUGCAAGUCGAACGGCAGCACGGGUGCUUGCACCUGGUGGCGAGUGGCGAACGGGUGAGUAAUACAUCGGAACAUGUCCUGUAGUGGGGGAUAGCCCGGCGAAAGCCGGAUUAAUACCGCAUACGAUCUACGGAUGAAAGCGGGGGACCUUCGGGCCUCGCGCUAUAGGGUUGGCCAAUGGCUGAUUAGCUAGUUGGUGGGGUAAAGGCCUACCAAGGCGACGAUCAGUAGCUGGUCUGAGAGGACGACCAGCCACACUGGGACUGAGACACGGCCCAGACUCCUACGGGAGGCAGCAGUGGGGAAUUUUGGACAAUGGGCGAAAGCCUGAUCCAGCAAUGCCGCGUGUGUGAAGAAGGCCUUCGGGUUGUAAAGCACUUUUGUCCGGAAAGAAAUCCUUGGCUCUAAUACAGUCGGGGGAUGACGGUACCGGAAGAAUAAGCACCGGCUAACUACGUG